This 393-nucleotide unclassified non-coding RNA is filed under the name soil metagenome. RNAcentral describes it as "partial contains 5.8S ribosomal RNA, internal transcribed spacer 2, and large subunit ribosomal RNA". The stretch from base 1 to 122 matches the Rfam family "5.8S ribosomal RNA", at positions 35 to 154 of the family's 154-position model. The record is from RNAcentral.
GAUGAAGAACGUAGUGAAAUGCGAUACUUGGUGUGAAUUGCAGAAUCCCGUGAACCAUCGAGUCUUUGAACGCAAGUUGCGCCCGAAGCCAUCCGGCCGAGGGCACGUCUGCCUGGGCGUCACACACCGUUGCCCCCCCAAACCCCGUCGGGGAAAAAGGGGGGCGGAUGUUGGCCUCCCGUGAGCCUCGCCUCGCGGCUGGCCCAAAUGCGAGAUCUCUGCUGCGAGCGUCGCGGCAAUGGUGGUUGUCGAAUAACUCGGUACCCCGUCGCGAACGCCCCCAGCGUGCUGUCUCGGAACGACCCCUGCGCGCGGCCUCGCGCCGCGCUUCCAACGCGACCCCAGGUCAGGCGGGGCUACCCGCUGAAUUUAAGCAUAUCAAUAAGCGGAGGA